CCUACGGGAGGCAGCAGUGAGGAAUAUUGGUCAAUGGGCGUAAGCCUGAACCAGCCAAGUCGCGUGAGGGAUGAAGGUUCUAUGGAUCGUAAACCUCUUUUAUAAGGGAAUAAAGUGCGGGACGUGUCCCGUUUUGUAUGUACCUUAUGAAUAAGGAUCGGCUAACUCCGUGCCAGCAGCCGCGGUAAUACGGAGGAUCCGAGCGUUAUCCGGAUUUAUUGGGUUUAAAGGGUGCGUAGGCGGCCUUUUAAGUCAGAGGUGAAAGUCUGGGGCUGAACCAUAGAAUUGCGGUUGAAACUGGGAGGCUUGAGUAUGUUUGAGGCAGGCGGAAUGCGUGGUGUAGCGGUGAAAUGCUUAGAUAUCACGAAGAACCCCGAUUGCGAAGGCAGCCUGCUAAGCCAUGACUGACGCUGAUGCACGAAAGCGUGGGGAUCAAACAGGAUUAGAUACCCUUGUAGUC
RNAcentral lists this ribosomal RNA (460 nucleotides) under uncultured bacterium. RNAcentral describes it as "partial 16S ribosomal RNA". It matches the Rfam family "Bacterial small subunit ribosomal RNA", at positions 338 to 795 of the family's 1533-position model. The record is from RNAcentral.